Molecule: ribosomal RNA, 305 nt
Filed under: uncultured bacterium
Lineage: Bacteria
Description: bacterial SSU rRNA
Rfam family: Bacterial small subunit ribosomal RNA
Source: RNAcentral
UACACCUACGGGGCGCAGCAGUGAGGAAUAUUGGUCAAUGGCCGAGAGGCUGAACCAGCCAAGUCGCGUGAGGGAAGACGGCCCUACGGGUUGUAAACCUCUUUUGUCGGGGAGCAAAGAGAGUCACGUGUGACUCAUUGAGAGUACCCGAAGAAAAAGCAUCGGCUAACUCCGUGCCAGCAGCCGCGGUAAUACGGAGGAUGCGAGCGUUAUCCGGAUUUAUUGGGUUUAAAGGGUGCGCAGGCGGUCUGUUAAGUCAGCGGUCAAAGCCCGGGGCUCAACCCCGGCCCGCCGUUGAAACUGGC